Long non-coding RNA from Dicentrarchus labrax (European seabass), 739 nucleotides. RefSeq lists it as uncharacterized. NCBI's taxonomy places the organism in Eukaryota, Metazoa, Chordata, Actinopteri, Moronidae. The record is from RefSeq and is a predicted model, not a curated record. The transcript has 2 exons.
ACGGCUGGCAGUUAACGCCUCUGACCGAUGUCCACUAACUGCCGUGCUUUUAUUUUGGCAGUGCCUCCCACUAUGUGAAGAAUGAACUGUGAUUUUAUUCUUGAACAUAUUAGUUGGAAGAUUGUGUUGUUUGGUGUACAGAAGAAAAAACAUGAUUAAAGCUGCAGUGGCGCUAUGGAUCCACCGGGCCUGGACGGAAACAAUCAAUCAGAUAUAAAUACACAUACAAUACAUACAAUGUGGUAUUACAGCUAAUCUACACUAAAAUGUGUUAUAUUUUAGGUGAGAAAUAGGCAUCGCAGUAACUGAUCUGAGUUUCUGUGCGUUGGACGGACUCACUGAGAAUGAGCUGUCAAUCCUGAGGUAGCCACGCCAAAAAGCAUACCUCUCUUUAUCUGUCUGUUUUACCCUAAAUUGGACCAUAAUUUACUAAAUUAACAUCAUAAUGUAUGAAAGAAGACUUGAAACUAGUAGUUGAGACCAUAAACUCAUAAGGAAACUGUUUAUUGAGCUAAUAAAUCAAAUGAGAAGUCGGAUCAUUUCUCUAUUAGAGUGUAUGGUAAUGGCGAAUGGAGCUCCCCCUGCUGGCCAUUACAUAGAAUAUAAGUUUAUAUAAAUUCUUCCUGCCAGCAUUAUAUUUUUAUUUGCCUUUUUCUUUUUUAUGUAUUCCUCCUUUCUUUUAUAUAAACUGUAAACUGUAACCUGUCUUUAUUAUGAGCAAUAAAGGAAAAAAAGUUAA